AUGGAAGCCACUGUGGUGAGUGUCGCGAAGUCCGUGCUGAAUGGAGCACUCGGAAGGGCCAGAUCUGCCGCUGCGGAUGAGGUUUCUCUGCGGGUUGGCGUCCAGCGCGAUCUGGCUUUCAUCAACGAUGAGUUUGAGAUGAUGCAGACCUUCCUGAUGGCUGCCGACGAAGACCGGGCCCAGAAGAAGUUGGUUAAAACCUGGGUGAAGCAGGUCCGCGAUCUAGGCUACGAUGCUGAGGAUUGCCUCCAAGAUUUCGGUGUUCAUCUGCAGAAAACUUCUCGGUGGUGCUUCCUCCGCACGCUGCUAGCACGGCGCCGCAUUUCCAAGGAUAUCAAGGUGCUCAAGUCCAGGGUGGAGGAUGUGAGCCAGAGAAACUUGCGGUACCGCCUCAUUGAGGAUUCUACCUCCAAGCCUGCCACCGACACCGAGCGAUCUACUAACAUCAGCAGGGAAGCAAUAUUUUGCAGUGAUGGUCCAAGGAUCACCGUAGUAAAGACGGACGAGCCAAAAGUGGAUCUUCGCCGACUGAUCACCAGCACAGAUGACCAAGCUCUUAGGGUGAUCUCGGUCUGGGGCGAAUCAGGCGAUGAUCUGAAGAAACUGUCUGUCAUCAGGGAAGUCUAUGACAAUCAAGAGAUCCGCACAAAGUUUGGAUGCCGUGCCUGGUUUAAGUUGAUGGAUCCCUUCAAUCCAAACGAUUUCCUCCAGUGCUUGCUCAGGCAGUUUUACUGGGCGUCUCUUCAAGAAAAUGGGAAGACCCAACAAGGGGCAGCUACAGGGGUUGGUGUUCUGAAGAAGAUGGAGAUGGUUGCAGCAGAUGGCCAUCUGAUUGACGAGUUUGAUCGAUAUGUGAAUGAGAAUAGGUACCUGAUUGUUAUUGAUGGCCUGUCUACCAUAGUGGAAUGGGAUUGGAUAAAGACAUGCUUCCCUGACAAGAAGAACGGAAGCCGAAUUAUAGUAUCCAUGGAGCAAGUAGAAAUUGCAAGGCUAUGUACAGGGCACUCGGCCCAAGUAGCCAAGCUGGAGUUAUUGUCAUCACGCCAGCGUGCUGUAUCUCUUCUAUGA
Molecule: ribosomal RNA, 1068 nt
Filed under: Triticum aestivum (bread wheat)
Lineage: Eukaryota; Viridiplantae; Streptophyta; Magnoliopsida; Poales; Poaceae
Description: partial small subunit ribosomal RNA
Source: RNAcentral